CUUCAUGAGUGAAUAUGAAAUUGUGCCUGCUCACUGAAGAUUUUAAAGAGCUGCGGUAUAUUGACCGUACAAAGGUAGCAUAAUCAUUAGUUUCUUAAUUGGAGGCUGGAAUGAAUGGUUUGACGAAACAAUAACUGUCUUAUUACUUAAGAAUUGAAUUUUACUUUUAAGUUAAAAGGCUUAAAUAUAAGAGAGGGACGAGAAGACCCUAUAGAUCUUUAUAAGUUGAUAUUUAUAUUAAUAAAAUUUUGUUAUUAUAAUUAAUUAAUGAUGUUGUUAUAGAUAUUAUAUUUAUUUAAUUGGGGUGAUUUAGGAAUAUGAAAACUUCUUAAUUAUUUAACUUUGAUAGAUGGAGAAAAGGUCCUUUAUUAUGGAGAGAAGAUGAAGUUACCUUAGGGAUAACAGCGUAAUUUUAUUUGAGAGUUCUUAUUGAUAAUAAAGAUUGCGACCUCGAUGUUGGAUUAAGAGUAUAUGUUGGUGCAGAAGUUAMAUMUUAUUAGUCUGUUC
Molecule: ribosomal RNA, 507 nt
Filed under: Orthoxiphus sp. Com
Lineage: Eukaryota; Metazoa; Arthropoda; Insecta; Orthoptera; Gryllidae
Description: partial 16S ribosomal RNA
Rfam family: Archaeal large subunit ribosomal RNA
Source: RNAcentral